UGUGCGCGCCCUCCCCCAGCCGCCCGCCGCGGCCCCGCGCGCGCGCACUGAGCGCCGCCGCCGCCUCCCCGGCUGCUGCUCCGGCUGCUGCAGGAGGCGGCGCUGGCUGGCGGCGGCGCUCGCUCCAGUCGGCGAGCGGAGCAGCGAGCGAGCGUGUGUGUUUUAAAGAUGGCCGGAGCGGUGGCGGCGGUGGCCGCGGGAGCAGCAGCGGGAGCCGCCGCAGCAGCCGUGUCGGUGGCGGCUCCUGGCCGGGCCUCGGCGCCCCCGCCGCCCCCGCCGGUGUACUGUGUGUGCCGGCAGCCGUACGACGUGAACCGCUUCAUGAUCGAGUGCGAUAUCUGCAAGGACUGGUUCCACGGCAGCUGUGUUGGAGUAGAAGAACAUCAUGCUGUUGACAUUGACCUGUAUCACUGUCCCAACUGUGCAGUUCUACAUGGAUCCUCCUUGAUGAAAAAGAGAAGGAACUGGCACAGGCAUGACUACACCGAAAUUGAUGAUGGUUCCAAACCAGUGCAAGCUGGAACUAGGACUUUUGUGAAGGAACUACGUUCUCGAGUCUUCCCAAGUGCCGAUGAGAUCAUUGUGAAGAUGCACGGCAGCCAGCUGACACAGAGAUAUCUGGAGAAACAUGGAUUUGAGGUCCCUAUUAUGGUCCCCAAGUUAGAUGACCUAGGACUCAGGCUCCCUGCAGCUACGUUUUCUGUUAUGGAUGUGGAACGUCAUGUAGGUGGUGACAAAGUGAUAGAUGUCAUUGAUGUGGCAAGGCAGGCAGACAGCAAAAUGACACUUCACAAUUAUGUUAAAUACUUCAUGAACCCUAACAGACCAAAAGUGUUAAAUGUGAUCAGCCUUGAAUUUUCAGAUACAAAGAUGUCUGAAUUGGUGGAGGUCCCUGACAUAGCCAGAAAACUUUCCUGGGUGGAAAAUUAUUGGCCAGAUGAUUCAGUCUUUCCCAAGCCAUUUGUUCAGAAAUACUGCUUAAUGGGAGUUCAAGACAGCUACACAGAUUUCCACAUUGACUUUGGUGGAACUUCAGUUUGGUACCAUGUCCUCUGGGGUGAGAAGAUUUUUUAUUUAAUAAAGCCAACAGAUGAAAAUUUGGCACUCUAUGAGUCUUGGAGUUCAUCUGUGACCCAGAGUGAAGUGUUCUUUGGAGAUAAGGUGGAUAAAUGCUACAAAUGUGUGGUAAAGCAGGGACAUACCUUAUUUGUUCCUACAGGGUGGAUUCAUGCUGUGCUCACUUCUCAGGAUUGUAUGGCUUUUGGGGGGAACUUUCUGCACAACCUUAACAUUGGCAUGCAGCUCAGGUGUUAUGAGAUGGAAAAAAGGCUAAAAACACCAGAUCUCUUCAAAUUCCCUUUCUUUGAAGCCAUAUGUUGGUUUGUAGCCAAAAACUUGCUGGAAACCCUGAAAGAACUGAAAGAAGAUGGUUUUCAGCCUCAGACUUACCUAGUACAGGGCGUGAAAGCACUGCAUACUGCUUUAAAAUUGUGGAUGAAAAAAGAACUUGUAUCCGAACAUGCCUUUGAAAUUCCAGACAACGUUAGACCUGGACAUCUUAUUAAAGAACUUUCUAAAGUAAUUCGAGCAAUAGAGGAGGAAAACAGCAAGCCAGUUAAAUCUCAGGGAAUUCCUACAGUGUGUCCAGCUUCACGAUCCUCAAAUGAAGCAACUUCCCCAUACCAUUCCCGACGAAGGAUGAGGAAACUUCGAGAUCAUAAUGUCCGGACUCCUUCUAACCUAGACAUCCUAGAGCUCCACACAAGGGAGGUCCUCAGAAGAUUAGAGAUGUGUCCUUGGGAAGAGGACAUCUUGAGCUCUAAACUGAAUGGUAAAUUCAACAAACAUCUCCAGCCAUCUUCUACCGUACCCGAAUGGAGAGCAAAAGAUAAUGAUCUACGAUUACUGCUGACAAAUGGAAGGAUAAUUAAAGAUGAAAGACACCCCUUCGCAGAUCAGAGUCUUUAUACAGUAGACAGUGAAAAUGAAGAGGAUAAGAGAAGGACAAAAAAGGCAAAAGUGAAGAUAGAAGAGAGUUCAGGAAUAGAGGCAGUGGAGAAUGAAGAAUCUCAGAAACCCCUUAACAGGUUUUUUACAAGUGUGAAGUCAGAACUCAGGAAUCGAUCAUCAGAAUAUUCUGACAUUUCUGAUUCGGAAGACUCUGGACCUGACUGCACUGCUCUGAAAAAUAAUUUUACCACUGAAGAGUCUGAAAGUUCAGGUGAUGAAAAGAAACAAAAGAUAACAUCAAACUUCAAGGAGGAAUCUAAUGUGAUGAGGAACUUUCUUCAAAAGAGCCAGAAAACAUCUAGAAGUGAAAUUCCAGUUAAAAGGGAAUGUCCUACCUCGACGAGCACAGAGGAAGAAGCGAUUCAGGGCAUGCUCUCUAUGGCAGGGUUGCACUAUUCCACAUGUUUACAAAGGCAGGUACAAAGCACAGGCUGCAGCAGUGAAAGAAACUCUCUCCAGGAUCCCAGCAGCUGUCACAGCAGUAACCACGAGGUUAGGCAGCUGUACCGCUAUGAUAAACCAGUGGAAUAUGGGUACCAUGUCAAGACUGAAGAUCAGGACUUGAGGCGUUCCUCUUGGGUUAAACAAUUUGAUACAACUUCCAGAUUUAAUCUUCAGAAAACGACAGCCAAAGAAAGAAUCAAAAUUUUCAUGUGGCGGAUUGGGGUCCCUAAACCUCCUAGACUCCAAACAUACUCGAUCCAAGUAGAGGCCAUAAAUAUAUCAAAAAGGAAGGUUCAUCAGAAAUCAGUCAAAAGGUACACAGUAGGAAUUCUGUGGACAGCAGUGGCUCCAGCCCUCAGAAUGGAAAGUACAUGCAGAAUUCAAGCUUGGUUUCAGGGGCAUGCCAGAUAAGUAAUGGCAGUGUAAGCCCAGAAAGGCCAGUUGGUGAAACUUCCUUUUCAGUGCCCCUUCACCCCACCAAGAGACCUGCAUCAAACCCACCACCUAUCAGCAACCAGGCAACAAAAGGUAAACGUCCAAAAAAGGGAAUGGCAACAGCCAAACAACGCCUUGGGAAGAUCCUUAAGUUGAACAGAAAUGGCCAUGCACGUUUCUUUGUGUGACGGAGCUGCUGUUGGGAUCACUCUUCCCUUUGGAGACCAGUCUCGGGGGUGUGGGAGCCUGGAGCUUCCGCCAUGCAUGUCCAGUAGAGAACACUGCCUGGAGAACAAAAUGAACCUGAUGCUGCAUUUUCACUGUGCCACACCCACUCAGCAAUAACCAUUUUGGACCUGGUGGGGGAGAGGAAGAAGGAGGGUAGAACCUUAAAAGGAGACCUUGAACUGAAAAGGGUCUCUUGUCAGGGCUUGAAUUUCAUUUUGUUGUUGGUAGUGUCUUGAUUUAUUUUCAGUGGUAAAGAAUUAUCAAUAAUUUAUUUAACAGAUUUUUUUAAAAGUUAACAGCUUUUAAAUUCUUUCUUUUUUAAAGCUAUUUAUUUGGAAGAUUUCUGGAGAAAUAUCUCACUAAUUUAGAUUUAAGAAUGUGAAGGUUUUUAAAUUAUUUUUGAUAGUGUGUGUGUUACAUGUGGGGAAGAGCCACAGUAACAGUAACUAGUCUGGACUCUUAAAUUUGAUAUUCAGGUUAAAGUCUUAAACAGGGAUUUGAUGCAUUAAUUAUUUUAAAUUAAGAUGUAUAUGGAAAUCAUUUUAUUUUAUAUAUUUCAUGUUUUUUAUAAGCUAUUAGCUUCGCUUUUGCUAACAUCCAAGGUGCAUACUGUUAUCCAGGUUGAUGACCUUAUAUCCCACCUUCCCCCUCUGCACUUCCAGCUUUUGUGAUGAUACAAGACUCUUCUCUUUGCAGGGAAACACUUUCAUAGCCGAUGUGUUAGACCUACAUAUAAAAGACCCCAACAUUUCUCAUUUAGUUUGACAUUGCAAUUUUUUCCUAAAUAUAACAAAGGCUUCUUGCAUUUUCAUUUUUGCUGAUGACCUGGGUUCCAAAGAGAACAGCUUUAAUAUCUUUUUCCUAUUUGUGGAAAAAGUAUUAUAAGUUUGAUUAAAUUGUCAUAUUUCUAGUUUUUCAAAUGCAUUUGUAACUACAGAGGGCCUUCUUCAUAUUGCUGGUAUUAGAGGGCAGGACCAACACCUGCCACAAAGGUUAUAUUUUAUGACACUUUUAUUCUGUGUACCUAAUUUGUUGGGAAAUAAGAUUUGACUUAGUUGUUCAACUCUUCAUAAUAAGCCGUAAUAUAAUAGGACUAUACUAUAUUAAUUGUGUAGAAGCAAGCAUGUUGGAGUAGACCUUUUGCAGGGAUGUGUGUGUGUGUGUGUGUGUGUGUGUGUGUGUGUGUGUGUGUGUGUUUAGUUUUUUAUUUCUUAACCUUCUAAAGAAUUAUUUAAGACAUGGAUUUGAAGUAAAAUGGGUGCUUCUUGUAGUUUCUUCCAUCUAUCCUAACUUAGCCAGUGCAUAUUGAGGUUAAGUAUCUGAGUGAGCUUUAAAGUAAUCAUAUAUCUCUUUUAUGCACAAUUUUUACUAAAUGCCAGCUAAUAAUAGCUAAUAUUUCCCCCUACCCCCCAUGGCUUAAAAAUAAGUAUUUUCAAGGCUGGGGUGAGGUGGGGUGGAGAUAUUUCCAUUGCUGACAGGAGAGCAUUAUACAAGUUCCUACAAAGAAAAUAUAGGCAAAUAAGAUCAAAUUUAUUUUUAUGAAGAAGAAAUAUGGCCAUAUUAUGGAUAUCCUUUUAUUUACUGAGCCAAGGUAGCAGAACUUUCCCUUCUAUAUUAAGUAUCAUGUGCAGUGCUAAGAAAAAGAAAUCCAUACCAUCCUCCUCCAUGGUUGCAUUCAAAUGUGUAUUUUCAAAGAGAGAGGUUUCUUACUCUGCCUUCAUUCCAGUAUUUCAUGGAAUAAAUAUGAAGUAGCUUAUGAAUUAGCCUUUUUGACCCAAGUGACUGAAUCAAAGUCUGGAUCUUACCUGGUGUCAGGAAGGAUUUUGUGGAAAUACUAAAUGCCUAUAAGUGGCCUACUUAAAUUCUACACGAUGCCAAAACUAGUUAAGAGAUGGGCAUGGUUAGUCAUUUGAUGGAUGAUUAGAUUUGAAAAAUGUAAAAAUUUGGGUUUGACUGAUUGUGCCACCUUCCCACACAGUAUAUUACUGUGAUGUUUUGGUUUUCUGUAGACAUCAUUUUAGUGUUUAUAGAACCUGUUUUUGUUUAAGAAAUAAGAGAUUAUAUAUAUAUAUAUAUAUAUAUAUAUAUAUAUAUAUAUAUAUAUAUAUAUAUAUAUUUUUCCAGUUACAUCAUGAUCUGGGUUCUUUUUUUAAUGUUCUUCUCACAGCUCUAAGUGUUUUUAGUUACCUGAUUUUUUUUCUUUAACUAUAAAAAUUAAAAUAAAACAAUUUCUUUUUAUGAGUUUAAAAUUGUGGCCAGUAUCCACCCUGUGUACUUAGGCUGGUAAAUACUUAUUUUAAGUAGACAGUAUGUGGAACUUUUAAGUGAAGGUACUGUGGAUUCAUUUUUGGCAAUUUUAGCCCAUUAACUGGCUAAGUUAAAAAAAUAAACUUUCAGCAGGGUCAUAAAUAUAACCACUACUCAGAACACAUGUAUCUUCUUCUGAAUUAGUGCAGAUUCAGCCACUGGUCCAGGGACUCUCCUAGUCUUACAGUUACUGGCUCUGAUGCAUCCCCUGUAGCUCGGAAAUGACUGAACCUUGAGGUAACUGCAACCAGUAUCUGGACUCAACUGUAACAGACAACCUUGUGUUUUUCCCUUGGUCUUAUUAUAAACAAUACUACUGCACAGAUACUACGACUUAGGAAGACAGCAGUGGUGGCAUUUAGCUAGUUAUAAGCAAAUAGAAAUAUGUAAAGCAGAAUUAUGAUUAAAUGUAUGCAUUUUUAAUUAUAGUUGUAGAUAAUUUUCCUGUAUUGAUUCAAGUAAGUAACUUCUGUUAACCUAGUAUCCACUGUACUGUAAUUCAUAAUGUCACAUAAUAUAAUGCUCUCCAGUAUUGAUUAAUGUUGUAAACAGUACAAAGCUGGCACUUAUAAUAGUUUUGUAUCCUAGAAAUACAUUGAACUUCAUAAGCAUCAGUUAAUUUUUAAAGCAUACAAAAUUGAAAAUUCUGACUGAAAUCAUCUUAUAAACUCAGAAAACAAGGCCAUCUUUAUUACUACUUAAAUACUUAGCUUGAAUACUGUUCUGUUUUUUAAUAAUCCCAAUUAUUGCCUUUUAAAUGAACUCUACUGUAUUUAUUCUUAUGAGAUCAGCAGGUAUUUAUCAAACACCUACUAUGUGCCCAGCACUACAUAGUACUGUGGGGAAGUGUAAAGUUGAAAUGUGGUCUCUGCCUUUGAAGGUAUCUUCGUCAGGAAAUAAGCAGUGUUAUUUUUACUUCUAAGCAAACAUAAGCAAAAGAGAGCCCAUUUAUUUAAAAAAGCAUUAACUUCAUUUGUUUCAAUUGAGAUAUACUAUGCUAUAUAGAAGUGGAAGUAAUUUUUAAAAUUUAAAAAACAUUUCAGAAAUUAACAAUUUAAUGUUGGCAGUAGAGGGUCAUGGUUUAGUAUGAAAGAGAGCAGACAACUUGGAUUUUUGCCCAGGUUCUGCCAUUUUUAUGUCAGCUGUGUGACCUUGAAUAAGUUGCUUAUUCUUACUACAUCUUAGUUUUCUCAUUUGUUAGUUUGGAUAAAAAUGCAGUUAACAAAUACAUGGAAAAGUGUUUCUUAAUCUAUUAACACUUCAUACUUGCAGUUAAUUUAUCAUUAUUUAAGUUGCCACUGAUAAUGAAUGCACAUUUUUAUGCAUUUUAAAUUUAAACUGUUAUUACUCAUAAAAUUUGUUUUAUGUCAAAUCUAUGCCCAGAGCAUGCUACCUAAAAAACCUAGAGUCUCUAACAAGGUGCUGAAUUAAAAUUAAAAUUAGUGCUUGAAGUGAAAGAAAAGUGAAAUAGUUUAUGGAUAAGAGUGAUACUGUUAAUCCUCAAGUAAUCAUUAAGAUGACUUAAGGAAAGAUUCUUUCUGCUUGUUUCAAGAGUUGCUUUCUAUAGUAACUCCCCCAAGAGCUCCUGAAUCACCUUGCCACCCGGUACACCACUGCCAGAAGUAACUAUUGCAGUGUAUCAGCAUUUUACGAUUUCACAUGGAGACGAAGGCUUAAUAAUGUCAAUCUGAACAUUUUUCAAAAAUUCAUUUUUUUCUCAUUAAAUAUUAAGCCAGUUGCUCCCUCCAAAAAGAAAAGCUAAAGAUCACCAGCUGUUUCUGGAUGCCCUAGACCUGUAUCUAAAGCAAUCUUGAGAAGGUUGAGCAUCAGGUCAUUAGGAAAAACGUGUUACCGGUAAAUAAAGAAGACAAACGGAACCCAAAUAGGGCAGUGAUUUGCCUGGGGUCAUAGUAGACCUCUGGUACCUUGCUUCCUACCACAGCAAUGCUGUGCAGCCUCUGCUUGUCCUGGGGGUGAUGUUGAUAUGCUUGCUAGAAGCCAGAUGGAAAGAAAGGAGAAGUAAUAUACUCACUACAUUGCUGUUGGACUGAAGUAAUUUUGAUACUAUAGCCUUACUAAAAACCCUGCCCUUAUUUUUAUUUGUUCUUCAGUGAAAAUCAUGACAUAAAAGUCAAAUCUUUUAUAUCCCUUACAUUAAAUUUUUAAUAAUUAAGGUCAUUAAGAAGCAAAUGCGUAUUUCCAAAGCAAUUAGCUUAUCAUAUUUGACUGUGGUUUUACUCUUUUAUACUAUUUUUCUCCUCUUUAAUGGGUAGGGAAAAUAAUGCUCAUUUACCUGCAUUCUACCCUUGUAGAGUCUCCCUCUUACCCAUGGUGCCCUCUCUAGUGUCCUAAAGCUUUGUCUUAACAAGUGCAACAUUCAAUUUUUGUUAAAACCCUUUCAGAACUAUAUUCAGUGAUUCUUCCAGCAAGUUGAUCUGUUCUGCACUAUUUCACUAAUAAACCCUGGCUACCACGUAGCCCUUGACCUCCAAGUAGCUUACCUAUGCAAGACCUGUGACAUUCUGAACUCACGUUUCCUUAUUUCAGAAAGCAGUCCUAAGUGGAACUUAAUCAUAACAAUAAACCUUGCCUCCACCUACUUUUAUUUUGGCCAUUUCCUUUUUAAAAUGCCAGCUAUUUCCCCCCAAGGUAUUUCACCAAAACAAUGAUCAUAAGUGCUGAAAUAUAUAAUAUCUUGCAGGAAUGAAAUAACCCAGACAUACUCUUAUAUUCCUGUGGUAGUUGGUUGGUAACAGUUACCAUUAUUAAGUGGAAUACAUAGUGAGGAAUUAAUUCCUUAAUUCCUUGCCUAGAAUCAUUUCUUCCCUCAAAGAUUCAUACGUAACCUUUUAUUUUUACAAAGCAUACAUAUAACUUCCACAUUAUAGUCAGGGACCUGAGGUGUCACUUGCUAAGUGAACCCCAGGUUAUUUUAUAUUGCAAAAGAAACCUAAACCAAACUAAGGGCCUUACAUUUAUGGUUAGACUGAAUCAAAAGCUAUAACCUCAAUUUUUCCCAAAAUAGCUUCUGACUGCAAACGCGUCAUGCAGUUGUUAGGUAUGAAAUAGCACUGAUCAGGAAAUGCAUGUGCAGCUUCGCAGACUGUAUUUCCUUCCGAAAAGACUUUUCUACUUUUAAUAUAAAUUAAGCCAUAAUAGUUACAUGCUGUGGAAAGAGGGUGAAAGGUUCAUUUGAAGAGAUUAUAUAAUAUGAAUUUUCACAUUUACUGUGAAAUGUCUAACUUUUCCAGUGCUUCAGCAGGUUUGUUUGUUUUUUUGAGGGGGUAGAGGGAGGUGAUAGGGUGGGGUAGUAUUGAUUUUAGAGAUUUCAAAUCUGUGAAAUUUGAAAAGGGGACAGUUGUUGGCUAUGGUAUUUAUUAGUUUUGUAGUAAUGUUUUGCUAGCCUGACUGACUUUCCUUAACUGAUUUUUAUGCCCAUGGUCCAAGGAGACUGGUACCCUUUCUUGUUUGGGGUGUCUGCGGAGUAGUGUCUUGUCUGUUUGUAUAGGCAGUCAGUGUGUGUGCACAUGUGUGUCCUUUGAAUACAGAAGCACACUGUGUGACUACAGAGUGGGGUGUGGCUGGGAAACGGGAUGCUGAAGCUUUAAAGAGCAUUUUUUUUUUUUUACUCUUAACAGUAUUUCCCAUCUUUUGCCUGCAGGCAGGGAAAGUGUACAGUAUUUAUUUUGCUUCUGUUUUAAAUUUGUAAGUCUUUAAAUAGUUUAAUUGGUUAUUAGAGGGGAGGACAAGUGACUUGUUUAAAGUUGUAUUUGGUAUUCUUUUCAAUUUCUGUAUUUUAAAAUAUUGAAAUCAAAAUUGUAUUACUUCUGUUUUGAUUUUUUUUAGUGCUGGGUGUAUUUUUGGCUCAUUUUGUUUGAAAGUAUAAAUGUUGAAAAUUGUAUAAAAUGUGUCUUUGAAAGAAAAAAAUUGAAUUCUAUAUCCAAUUCUGGUUUUCUGUUCUUUUUUUCUGCUUAUUAAUUCAUGGGAGAAUUAUUGGAGUAUGUGAAAAACUGUAUAGGCUCCUUAGUAUUUCUGAAGAUUCAAAUGUGCAGAGUAAUGUGUCAUAUUAUUUGGUUAGAUGUAUUGCUGGGGAAGCAAUUAGUGAAAGAGAGGAAAGAAGACAAAAGGGUAAUUAGUUGGCAAGAUGAGGCUACCCUAUGGCCAUGGAUGCUGGUGCUACUGGGGGACACUUAAAAGCAUUUGUUGUCCCCAACCUGAGCACCCCAAAAUACUUCUUGAGCACCUGCAGUAUACCAGGCAUUGUCUAGCACUGGAGCUACAGGAGUGGGAUCAAGCCCCAGGCCUGCAGGAGCCUGUGAUAGAUGUGAAAGGAGGGGAGAUCAAGGGGUUGCUGUGACCCGGCUGCCUAGGGGGGUGGGAGUGCAAGUGUGAGUUCAGUGAGAUCAGUUCAUCGAGGACAUAGUGCUUUUAAGGGUGUGAGAGCCAGGUCUGGGAUGAGCUGAGCUUAACUUGGGCCCAGGAGAGGAGCCAGGACCAAAGAGGAAGGAGCACUGGGAGCAGCACUUCAGGGCAGAAGAAGAGCCUGGGAGGGGCAGGAAAUGGUAGGAGGAUCUGCUCUGGAGGAGCCUGAAUGCAGAUUGAUGGAAACCAAGGCACUGAAGGAUCCAGGCCUCGGCUCUUCCUGUAUUAAUACCUGCAAGAGAGUAGGUGGUCCAGAGUGCACCCACUUAAAGCCACCUCAACAGCUGUUACAAGAAUGGUGCCCAAAGCACGUUCACACCUCCUCUAUCUUACUGGCCUGUUUAUUCCAGCUGAUUGAAAACAGUCUGAAUAAAUCUGUUCUUUUGUAAAAGUCCA
Molecule: RNA transcript, 10242 nt
Organism: Myotis daubentonii (Daubenton's bat)
Lineage: Eukaryota; Metazoa; Chordata; Mammalia; Chiroptera; Vespertilionidae
Gene: KDM7A
Gene name: lysine demethylase 7A
Source: RefSeq, a predicted model, not a curated record